RNAcentral lists this ribosomal RNA (255 nucleotides) under uncultured prokaryote. RNAcentral describes it as "partial 16S ribosomal RNA". It matches the Rfam family "Bacterial small subunit ribosomal RNA", at positions 525 to 777 of the family's 1533-position model. The record is from RNAcentral.
ACGGGGGGGGCAAGUGUUAUUCGGAAUGACUGGGCGUAAAGGGCACGUAGGCAGUGAAUCAGGUUGAAAGUCAAAGACGCCAGCUCAACUGGCGGAAUGCUUUCAAAACCAAUUCACUUGAGUGGGAUAGAGGGGAGUGGAAUUUCGUGUGUAGGGAUAAAAUCCGGAGAUAUACGAAGGAACGCCGAAGUAGCGAAGGCAGCUUUCUGGGUCUCUACUGACGCUAGGGUGCGAAAGCUUGGGGAGCAAACAGGA